GCGUAUAUUUGGACUUUUCAAAUAUUUAGAGUACGUUGCAAUGCGAACAACCAGCAGCGGCGAAUAUCUACUAAAAUGGCGGGGAAAGCACUCUUAAUCUUCGCUACCAUUUCAGCAUUAAAUAUAGAUGCUCUUCGUGUCUACAACAUGCGCUAUUCAUCUGCUUUGAGUGCAUCCCGGGAAGACAUCUCUACGAUAAUCAAAAAGUAAGAAACUAUACUUUAUUUCUUAUGCUCUAAAAAUGUUUUUGCCUUACGCAAAUCUACAUUCAUGUUUGUUAUAAAAUUCGCGAAUAUCUUUACUCGGAAAAGCGAAUACUGAACUUUAAUAACCGCAUUUAUGGUUGAUUUUGGUCUGCUGCUAAAUAUAGGUGAGAGUCGGUUUCGAAAUUAUAAUUUUAAACGAAAUUGAGUUUUGUUUUUUGGAGGGUAGGUUUAUUUUCGUAAAAUGCACGUGUUAGUGGUAAUUUAAAUAUUAUAAUGAGAAUGUGAAAUGGAAUAAAAGAAUAUGAGAACGGAUGAGACUGAAGAUGAAAAGAUUUUAUUUGUUUCCCUUUUCAAAGAGGAAACAUGUUUUUUUUUUAUGUGGGUU
Molecule: long non-coding RNA, 591 nt
Organism: Cydia strobilella
Lineage: Eukaryota; Metazoa; Arthropoda; Insecta; Lepidoptera; Tortricidae
Exons: 3
Source: RefSeq, a predicted model, not a curated record